CAACCCUGAGGAGAGGGGUUGGGGAUGUUCCUUCUGUCACCCAAAACCCUCAGGCCGAGCUGAGCGAUGAUCCCAACUCGGCUGAGCUGGAGGAAGAGCUUUGGGGGGAGAAAGGGGGAAAAAAGGGAGAAAUCAAGGACCUUUCAAACCAGCCAGGUGGAUUUGGAGGUUUGUUGGGAUGUUCUAAUGUGGAGGGAACCCAGUUGGGGUGGAAAUGAGGGGGAAAGGGCUGUUUGGGGCUCCCCUGGGCUGGGUGGGGUUUGGUUUGGGGUUUUUUUUUGGUUUAAGUUCAGACCCAAAGGUGAAAUCCCUGACUGGUACCUCUGUGGGUCUGGAGCUGAUGGGGAGAACUCUCAGUGGAGCUGGGGAGGACUUGGAAAACCGGGAUAUGUUGGAAUUCAGGAUCUGACCUGCACCUCCUCCUUUCAAAGUCUCUCUUCCUUCUUCCAGGACUCGAAGACCCUUCACGUCUCCGAACGCCAACUCCAGAGCAAGGUGGUGCCACCUCCCCGUGCCAGCUUCCCACCCCGGGAUCUCCCAGACCCCUUUGGUGCCAUGAAGACCCCUCAGGACAUGAAGCCUGAGGGAGAGGCCGAAAGCCAGGACUCCUCCCUGGGCCUGUCCCCCUCCCAGCCCUCAGAGCUGGGCUACCUGAACGUGGCCUCCCCGGGGGACACCACGGCCUCCCCGCUGCAGGAGGAGAGCAGGAGCGUCGGCUCGGAGACCUUCUGAGCUGGGAAUUCUGUGCAGAGUCACCUGGAUGCAGGACUGGGACUCCUGAGCUGGGAAUUCUGUGCAGAGUCACCUGGAUGCAGGACUGGGACUCCUGAGCUGGGAAUUCUGUGCAGAGUCACCUGGAUGCAGGACUGGGGCUCCUGAGCUGGGAAUUCUGUGCAGUGUCACCCUGGGGCUCCUGGGAAUGUUGUGCAGAGUCACCUGGAUGCAGGACUGGGGCUCCUGGUGCCGUGGGAUGACAGAGACUGCAAAGAGAAGAAUUGCCAAAUGGACUGACCUAGGGAUUUCUGGGAUAUUUUCCAGCUGAGUUAAUCCAGAGUGUUGUUUUUUUUUUUUCCACGUACCCCCUGUAAAGGUGUUUGUGUCAUCCCAGAGACACUGGAGGUUGGAAUGUGUAGAUAAACUCAUAAACAUGGAAGAGGGGUGGGGUGAAGUGUGUCUUCCCUCAACCCUAAUUCCUUGUCCAGGCCAAAUCUAUAAAUUUUAUAAAGAAAAGAAAUUAAUGUUCACUGGUUCUUAAUUACAUCAUUCUCUUUCAUUAGCCAGUAUUUUACUUCUAUUGGUUAUUGAUUUCUCAAUUUCUGUGUUAAUUAAAUCCACAUUUUUAGUACCUUUUUUCCUAGAAGGGGCUUUCCAGCACAUGGACUGAAUUCUUUGUUAAUUCUUUUCCCUAUCUUCUGGUUUCUACAAAAGGUCCUUGGUUAGGUGGGAUAUUGGGAAAAAUUCCUCCCUGUGAGGAUGGGGAGGGGCUGGGAUGGAAUUCCCAGAGAAGCUGUGGCUGCCCCAUCCCUGGGAGUGUCCAAGGCCAGGUUGGAGCAACCUGGGAUAGCAAAGUUGUCCCUGCCGUGGGUGGAACAAGCUGAACCUUAAUGUCCCUUCCCACCCAAAGCAUUCCAUGAAUCCAUGAUUCUCUGCUCAGCUGUUGCCAACCAGCAACCCCAGGUCCUUUUCCACGAGUGUGGAAGAAUUACUGGGGGAAAAUGACUGAGACUGAAGU
Long non-coding RNA from Manacus vitellinus (golden-collared manakin), 1732 nucleotides. Lineage: Eukaryota; Metazoa; Chordata; Aves; Passeriformes; Pipridae. The record is from Ensembl.